This 1324-nucleotide long non-coding RNA is filed under the name Naja naja (Indian cobra). RNAcentral describes it as "lncRNA (ENSNNAG00000010429.1)". The record is from RNAcentral. Lineage: Eukaryota; Metazoa; Chordata; Lepidosauria; Squamata; Elapidae.
CUUGCUUCUACCAAAGGAAAGCAGCCUGUGAAAAAGGCCUCAAAGGCGGAGGAGAAAGAUGCUUCCAGGCACCAUCAGGCCAUUGAGAAGCAGAUAGCCAAGGUGCAUCAGGCCUCUUCUUGCUUAACGUCGGCACAAGCUACUUCUCCAGCAUCACUAAUCAGUGAAGUGGAUUUGGAGGAGCCUGGACCUUCUUCCAGACCUGGUAUCCAGACCUGGUCCCCUGAUGUGUCCAGAAGAGGUGCUUCUCCCAUCCCUUCUGAGGGCGGCAGUCAGGUCGAUGAACUUCAUGGAGAAGCAGCACCUUGGCAUGAGUGUAGUAGACAAUAGACAGGGGGUGGAACCCUCCUUUCCUCCUGCUGCCACUGGAGCCAGACCAGCUGACCCUUCUGAUUCGGAUGUCCCAAUUAACUUGCAAAUCCUGAUAGACAAGGCCAUCAGGAGGGCAUCUCAAGAAAGGCUUGCAGAAGGCGACCGUGCGUCUGCUGCUUCUGAUCUAUCAGAAAGGAGGUCCCGGGUUCGUGAAGCUCUCUUAUCAGAAAGAGGUUCAUUUAUCCAGGAUCCAGUUUCUGGGUUGGCUGAAGACUUCGCUCCUGUUACCUCAGUGGCUCCAUCCUUGGUGGGAGAACCUGAUAGGCUGGAAUCCGAUAUGUCAGCGGAUGAAGGCCCGUCUCAUGAGGUUCCUGUGUUUACGGGUUGUUUUAAACACACCUUGUUUAGUCCCUUGUUGUUCAAGGCUAGGAACGCUGCAAAUCUCAAAGGCGCAGAUGAUGAGGUAGCGGCCUCACUUCCUCCUGAGGAGUCAGAUGUUCUGUUUGACGAGCCGGAAGUGAGAAAAGAAGUGGUUCCAUCUCCAAAACUGUUCCUGAAGGUGAUCAGGAAACAGCUUGAAGCUCCUGCCACAGGGCCCAAUCCUCUGGCCUCUGACCACAGGUUCUUUAACGUGGCGCCCGAACUCACCAAGAUGCUUCAGGUUCCCACGGUUGAUGUUCCAGUCGCAGCUUUGGCUUCCUCCUCGUCAGCUCCUUCGGAUCCGGAGGAAGUCCUCAAGGCAGAGGAAAAGCAUGUGGAACAGUCACUACAGAGAUCUCAUCUGGCUGCUGCCUGGGCAGUCAAGGCUUCUACGGCGGCAUCUUUCUUUACUAGGACAUCGCUCAAGUGGCUGAAGCAGUUGCGGGAUAGAAUUCCCUCAUCAGAUGUCCGUGCCCACCAGGACAUCAAUAAGAUUAUGGCAGCUACAGAAUUCACGGCUGAUGCCACGCUGCAUAAGGUGGCACUGCUGCCGACAUCGAAUACCAACCGCCCUGUGCGAACUCAUAGACAG